GGUGCCAUGGUGUAAUGGCUAACACUCUAUGUCUGUGCCAGCUGGCAGUCUAGGGCUCCACGUUCGAUUCGUGGUGGGACCA
Molecule: non-coding RNA, 82 nt
Organism: Trichophaea hybrida
Lineage: Eukaryota; Fungi; Ascomycota; Pezizomycetes; Pezizales; Pyronemataceae
Source: the annotation of a GenBank genome assembly